RNAcentral lists this ribosomal RNA (269 nucleotides) under uncultured prokaryote. RNAcentral's name for it is "partial 16S ribosomal RNA". It matches the Rfam family "Bacterial small subunit ribosomal RNA", at positions 524 to 792 of the family's 1533-position model. The record is from RNAcentral.
UACGGAGGUGGCAAGCGUUACUCGGAUUUAUUGGGUGUAAAGGGCAGGUAGGCGUCUCGAUAAGUUCUUGGUGAAAUCCUUCUGCUUAACGGAAGAACUGCCCGGAAAACUAUCGAGAUUGAGGCUAGAAGAGGAGAGUGGAAUUCCCGGUGUAAGGUUGAAAUCUGUAGAUAUCGGGAGGAACACCAGUAGCGAAGGCGGCUCUCUGGUAUAGACCUGACGCUGAGCUGCGAAAGCUAGGGGAGCAAACAGGAUUAGAUACCCUCGUA